GCAAGUCGAACGGUGACGAGGAGCUUGCUCCUCUGAUCAGUGGCGAACGGGUGAGUAACACGUGAGCAACCUACCCUUGACCCUGGGAUAACAGUUGGAAACAGCUGCUAAUACCGGAUACGACCCCAGCAGGCAUCUGCCGGGGUGGAAAGCUCCGACGGUCAAGGAUGGGCUCGCGGCCUAUCAGCUUGUUGGUGAGGUAACGGCUCACCAAGGCGUCGACGGGUAGCCGGCCUGAGAGGGCGACCGGCCACACUGGGACUGAGAUACGGCCCAGACUCCUACGGGAGGCAGCAGUGGGGAAUAUUGCGCAAUGGGCGAAAGCCUGACGCAGCAACGCCGCGUGCGGGAUGACGGCCUUCGGGUUGUAAACCGCUUUCAGCAGGGACGAAGGGUCACCUUGACGGUACCUGCAGAAGAAGCACCGGCUAACUACGUGCCAGCAGCCGCGGUGAUACGUAGGGUGCGAGCGUUGUCCGGAAUUAUUGGGCGUAAAGAGCUUGUAGGCGGUCUGUUGCGUCGGAAGUGAAAACUCAGGGCUUAACCCUGAGCCUGCUUUCGAUACGGGCAGACUUGAGGGAUGUAGGGGAGAACGGAAUUCCUGGUGGAGCGGUGGAAUGCGCAGAUAUCAGGAGGAACACCAGUGGCGAAGGCGGUUCUCUGGACAUUUCCUGACGCUGAGAAGCGAAAGCGUGGGGAGCAAACAGGCUUAGAUACCCUGGUAGUCCACGCCGUAAACGGUGGGCACUAGGU
This 753-nucleotide ribosomal RNA is filed under the name uncultured microorganism. RNAcentral's name for it is "bacterial SSU rRNA". It matches the Rfam family "Bacterial small subunit ribosomal RNA", at positions 57 to 821 of the family's 1533-position model. The record is from RNAcentral.